UGCCAGCCGCCGCGGUAAUACGGAGAGGGCAAGCGUUGUUCGGAAUCACUGGGCAUAAAGAGCACGUAGGCGGAUUGAAAAGUCGGUUGUGAAAGCCCGGGGCUCAACCCCGGAACUGCUUCCGAAACUUUCAGUCUAGAGGACGAGAGGGGAGAGUGGAACUUCUGGUGGAGCGGUGAAAUGCGUAGAUAUCAGAAGGAACACCGGUGGCGAAAGCGACUCUCUGGCUCGUAUCUGACGCUGAGGUGCGAAAGCUUGGGUAGCGAACGGGAUUAGAUA
This 279-nucleotide ribosomal RNA is filed under the name uncultured bacterium. Its description in RNAcentral is "partial 16S ribosomal RNA". It matches the Rfam family "Bacterial small subunit ribosomal RNA", at positions 506 to 784 of the family's 1533-position model. The record is from RNAcentral.